GUGUUAAAGCUGUAAAUUGUAGAGGUGGAGCGGUCCACCUCAUCUGCUCUCUGCCAGAGUCAGUGUGUGUGAUAAAUGAGAGGAGGCCUGGUCUGCUUACUGAUGCACAGGAGAUACCGAACCAGCUCCCCCCCCACCACCACCCCUCCAUCCACCUCCUCUUCCUCCAUCUUUCAGCUUCAUCUAUCAAACUUCAGUCUUGUUCGUGGCAGCUGCAUCAGUUGUGUGUGAGAAAUGGAGCUGCGGUGAAUCACGGCGCUCUGAUUCGCCCCAGCCCAGCGUGACUGUGGAGCGCCUGCCGGAAUCCAGCGGAAUGUGCCAGAACUGAAGCCUGCUCGGCCCAGUCAUCCUUAGCAGGGAGACAUUAGUUACGAUACAUUAUCUGAAUGGCCUGCCAUCUUUUCAAAGUAAACCUCAUGGAUUCUAGCCUGUCUCUUUUUAUAUUUUUUUCUCAAGUGCACUAGUGCACACACACUCACACACACAUAAACACUCAAAGGCACAUUCGAGUGGACACACGGGAACACCUAUAAUAGGCUUACACGACCGCGCACACCCUGCAAUUACAAACAUACAAACACACACACACACACACACACACACACACACACACACACACACGCUCACUCUUUAUGUGGAGCCGCCCCCCUCUCGUUGCUUGCACUCCUUGGGCUAUAAUAAAUUUCUUUGAAACAUGACUCUACACAUGAGGGGAUGGCAAUCUAGAGAGCAGAAAUUAAAAUUUCAUUAUUUACUGCACUUGUGUUGCAGGGUGCAAUUAGUAUCUACAGAGCAUGGAGCGGGAAUAUUUAAUCCUUUCUUUCUUUCUCUAUCUCUCUUUCCACCUAGAAAAAAAUGUGACCAUGGUAACUGCUGCUAUGACUACUGCAUUGACCUUAGGACAUAGUGGUAAAUUGUGUUUUUUUCCCCCCUUCCGUUCCGAGUUCUUUUCUGUACACUUAAGCAGUGAACUAAAAAGAAAAAGAGAAGGAAAGAAAAAUAACAUCCGGGCAUUGGAUUAAAUGCAAUCAUUGUCAGCCCACAACCAUGCCAUUUAUCAGUGUACUGUUUUGGACUGUAUAAUAAGUUUCGUAUAUUAAUACAAUUUUUCAUGUUACACCACUGGCUGAGAUUCAUGACCAGCAGGUGAUCUCAGGUGAUCAUUGAAUUACGUGACCUGUAAUGUGGGGAGAGAGAGAGAUGUGUAUAUGGAUAUGGGAAAUGGAGGGUGGAGCCGAUGUUCUUUGGCUCAUGUGAGCAACAGUUUUAGUUCACGGCAUAUAUUUAAGAAAAUGUUUUAGAUGUUAUUCAACUUCAGAAAUCUUUUAAUUUUUGCACUUUUCAUUUGGGAAUUUUAAACUUGCUCUAAGCAUGCUAAAUGACACAGUUUAUGACUAUAUUAGUCAUUUUUAUA
This is a long non-coding RNA of Cyprinus carpio (common carp), 1414 nucleotides long. RefSeq lists it as uncharacterized. Lineage: Eukaryota; Metazoa; Chordata; Actinopteri; Cypriniformes; Cyprinidae. The transcript is spliced from 3 exons. The record is from RefSeq and is a predicted model, not a curated record.